Long non-coding RNA from Peromyscus eremicus (cactus mouse), 844 nucleotides. RefSeq lists it as uncharacterized. The record is from RefSeq and is a predicted model, not a curated record. Lineage: Eukaryota; Metazoa; Chordata; Mammalia; Rodentia; Cricetidae. The transcript has 3 exons.
GUUUCCCUGGCAUUCCAUUGUUAUCAUGCACAUUCAUUUAAAGAUGCUCCAAGAUGUUAAAAAACUGUGGCAUGGUAUGUUUUCUGUUUAAGGAGACAGAAGCCUAGAGAAGCAAGCUGUGUUACUGCAGGCCAUGUGACUGGGUAACAGGAAAUCCCCUUCUCCUGACUUCUCUACUAGGAGACCCAAGAUGGAAUCCCAGGAUCCUCAGGAAGGAAUGAACCACUUUCAAAUCAGUAACACAUUGCUAAAGACCGAAUAUUAGCUCACAUGAGAGUAUGUAAUCACAGGAGGGCAAAGACAUCAGGAGCUCUCCUCUCUGAGGUUUUUCAUCCAGAACCUCCUCCACAUGUCCACAGUUCAACACAACAGGCACAGUGCAUUUUGGAAAAAAAAUUGACAAAUUGAACCUCAUGAAAAUUACAAAUUCCUUCCCUUCAGAGGGCACUGUUAAGAUGAAUAAGCCAGCCACGAGCUAUGAGAAAAUAUUUGCAAAAUUCAUAUCUGAUGAAGGAUUAGUAUAGAUAAUCUAUAAAGAAUGCUCAAAACUCAAUAAUAAGAAAACAACAUAAUACAAAUGGGCAAAGGAUUUGAAUAGAUACUUCAUCAAGGAAGAUACAGAGAUGAUGGAUGUGGACAUGAAAAGAUGCAGAGUGUCAUUAGUCAUCGGUAAACUCUAGUUAAAAACCACACUGAGACGCCACUACCUAUGCAAUAGGACAUCAAAAAUAACUUUCAGAAAUUUAAUUGGCAACUCGAAAGGCAAAGAAUGGGAACAUUUGCAGCCUUCAUCCUUGCCUGGAGUGUACACAAAGCUGUAUAGCCACUUGGAAAGCAGUCUGGC